UACUAAAUACUACCCCACUACUCCCAAGGUUUCCACUUUUCUUUUCUGUUGUCUGGUUUUAGACCUAUUAGAAUUGAGUCCUCAUGCUUUUGGUGUUAGGUGGAUAUUUUUUUAGAAUUGUUUUGUUCCGAUUUAUAAUGCUAACAACAGGCUGUUCUGUACCUGCUAUAUGAGAAAUCACACGGGCUGACUUCCCGUCAUGUAACAUAGAUUGAGCACGUGUAAACGCGGAGUUUUGUGUUUCUGUAGUGUUAUUCCAUAAUUUGUUGUUUCUUUGCUUUCAAAUACUCCAUAAGAUGCAGGCAAACAAUGAGGCAUCAUCCCUUGUAAUAUGUUGCAGCACCUAAAAAAAAGC
This 355-nucleotide long non-coding RNA is filed under the name Medicago truncatula (barrel medic). RNAcentral's name for it is "long non-coding RNA (MTRU_LNC001891)". The record is from RNAcentral. Lineage: Eukaryota; Viridiplantae; Streptophyta; Magnoliopsida; Fabales; Fabaceae.